RNAcentral lists this ribosomal RNA (500 nucleotides) under uncultured bacterium. RNAcentral describes it as "partial 16S ribosomal RNA". It matches the Rfam family "Bacterial small subunit ribosomal RNA", at positions 30 to 523 of the family's 1533-position model. The record is from RNAcentral.
AUUGAACGCUGGCGGAAUGCUUUACACAUGCAAGUCGAACGGCAGCACGGGGGCAACCCUGGUGGCGAGUGGCGAACGGGUGAGUAAUACAUCGGAACGUGCCCAGUCGUGGGGGAUAACGUAGCGAAAGUUACGCUAAUAACGAAGACGAUCUAUGGAUGAAAGCGGGGGAUCCGAAGACCUCGCGGGAUGGUCGGGGCCGAUAUCAGAUUAGGUAGUUGGUGGGGUAAAGGCCCACCAAGCCAACGAUCUGUAGCUGGUCUGACAGGACGACCAGCCACACUGGAACUGCGACACGGUCCAGACUCCUACGGGAGGCAGCAGUGGGGAAUUUUGGACAAUGGGCGAAAGCCUGAUCCAGCCAUUCCGCGUGCAGGAUGAAGGCCCUCGGGUUGUAAACUGCUUUUGUACAGAACGAAAAGGUUUCUACUAAUACUAGGAGCUCAUGACGGUACUGUAAGAAUAAGCACCGGCUAACUACGUGCCAGCAGCCGCGGUAA